This 55-nucleotide transfer RNA is filed under the name Hygrobates turcicus. RNAcentral's name for it is "tRNA-Pro". The record is from RNAcentral. Lineage: Eukaryota; Metazoa; Arthropoda; Arachnida; Trombidiformes; Hygrobatidae.
UCAAAGUUUAAUCCUUAAGCCCCCAAAGCUUUUAUUCUUCUUAAACUAUACUUUG